RNAcentral lists this ribosomal RNA (426 nucleotides) under uncultured bacterium. RNAcentral describes it as "bacterial SSU rRNA". It matches the Rfam family "Bacterial small subunit ribosomal RNA", at positions 356 to 773 of the family's 1533-position model. The record is from RNAcentral.
AGGGAAUCUUCCGCAAUGGACGAAAGUCUGACGGAGCAACGCCGCGUGAGUGAUGAAGGUUUUCGGAUCGUAAAACUCUGUUGUUAGGGAAGAACAAGUACCGUUCGAAUAGGGCGGCACCUUGACGGUACCUAACCAGAGAGCCACGGCUAACUACGUGCCAGCAGCCGCGGUAAUACGUAGGUGGCAAGCGUUGUCCGGAAUUAUUGGGCGUAAAGCGCGCGCAGGCGGUUUCUUAAGUCUGAUGUGAAAGCCCCCGGCUCAACCGGGGAGGGUCAUUGGAAACUGGGGAACUUGAGUGCAUAAGAGGAGAGUGGAAUUCCACGUGUAGCGGUGAAAUGCGUAGAGAUGUGGAGGAACACCAGUGGCGAAGGCGACUCUCUGGGCUGUAACUGACGCUGAGGCGCGAAAGCGUGGGGAGCAAAC